UACGGAGGGUGCGAGCGUUGUUCGGAAUUACUGGGCGUAAAGGGCUCGUAGGUGGCCAACUAAGUCAUGCGUGAAAUCCCUCGGCUUAACCGGGGAACUGCGUCUGAUACUGGAUGGCUUGAGUUUGGGAGAGGGAUGCGGAAUUCCAGGUGUAGCGGUGAAAUGCGUAGAUAUCUGGAGGAACACCGGUGGCGAAGGCGGCAUCCUGGACCAAUACUGACACUGAGGAGCGAAAGCCAGGGGAGCAAACGGG
RNAcentral lists this ribosomal RNA (253 nucleotides) under uncultured bacterium. RNAcentral's name for it is "partial 16S ribosomal RNA". It matches the Rfam family "Bacterial small subunit ribosomal RNA", at positions 524 to 776 of the family's 1533-position model. The record is from RNAcentral.